GAUGAACGCUGGCGGCGUGCCUAAUACAUGCAAGUCGAGCGAACGGACGAGAAGCUUGCUUCUCUGAUGUUAGCGGCGGACGGGUGAGUAACACGUGGAUAACCUACCUAUAAGACUGGGAUAACUUCGGGAAACCGGAGCUAAUACCGGAUAAUAUUUUGAACCGCAUGGUUCAAAAGUGAAAGACGGUCUUGCUGUAACUUAUAGAUGGAUCCGCGCUGCAUUAGCUAGUUGGUAAGGUAACGGCUUACCAAGGCAACGAUGCAUAGCCGACCUGAGAGGUUGAUCGGCCACACUGGAACUGAGACACGGUCCAGACUCCUACGGGAGGCAGCAGUAGGGAAUCUUCCGCAAUGGGCGAAAGCCUGACGGAGCAACGCCGCGUGAGUGAUGAAGGUCUUCGGAUCGUAAAACUCUGUUAUUAGGGAAGAACAUAUGUGUAAGUAACUGUGCACAUCUUGACGGUACCUAAUCAGAAAGCCCCGGCUAACUACGUG
This 497-nucleotide ribosomal RNA is filed under the name uncultured bacterium. RNAcentral's name for it is "partial 16S ribosomal RNA". It matches the Rfam family "Bacterial small subunit ribosomal RNA", at positions 28 to 507 of the family's 1533-position model. The record is from RNAcentral.